Molecule: transfer RNA, 64 nt
Filed under: chicken gut metagenome
Rfam family: tRNA
About the family: Transfer RNA (tRNA) molecules are approximately 80 nucleotides in length. Their secondary structure includes four short double-helical elements and three loops (D, anti-codon, and T loops). Further hydrogen bonds mediate the characteristic L-shaped molecular structure. tRNAs have two regions of fundamental functional importance: the anti-codon, which is responsible for specific mRNA codon recognition, and the 3' end, to which the tRNAs corresponding amino acid is attached (by aminoacyl-tRNA synthetases). tRNAs cope with the degeneracy of the genetic code in two manners: having more than one tRNA (with a specific anti-codon) for a particular amino acid; and 'wobble' base-pairing, i.e. permitting non-standard base-pairing at the 3rd anti-codon position.
Source: RNAcentral
ACUGUGGCUCAGUUGGUAGAGCAGCUGAUUCGUAAUCAGCAGGCCGCCGGUUCAAGUCCGGCCA